CCUACGGGAGGCUGCAGUGGGGAAUAUUGCACAAUGGGGGAAACCCUGAUGCAGCGACGCCGCGUGAGUGAAGAAGUAUUUCGGUACGUAAAGCUCUAUCAGCAGGGAAGAAAAUGACUGUACCUGACUCAGAAGCCCCCGCUAACUACGUGCCAGCAGCCGCGGUCAUACGUAGGGGGCAAGCGUGAUCCGGAUUUACUGGGUGUACAGGGAGUGUAGACGGCAGCGCAAGUCUGGAGUGAAAUCCCAUGGCUUAACCAUGGAACUGCUUUGGAAACUGUGCAGCUGGAGUGCAGGAGAGGUAAGCGGAAUUCCUAGUGUAGCGGUGAAAUGCGUAGAUAUUAGGAGGAACACCAGUGGCGAAGGCGGCUUACUGGACUGUAACUGACGUUGAGGCUCGAAAGCGUGGGGAGCAAACAGGAUUAGAUACCCCUGUAGUC
Molecule: ribosomal RNA, 440 nt
Filed under: uncultured bacterium
Lineage: Bacteria
Description: partial 16S ribosomal RNA
Rfam family: Bacterial small subunit ribosomal RNA
Source: RNAcentral